GUCAGGCAUAAAUUAUAAGUUGUCUUUUUAUUUGAGUAUAUAAAAAUAAAAAGGCAACUUAUAAUUUAUGCCUGAC
This is a non-coding RNA of Xyrichtys novacula (pearly razorfish), 76 nucleotides long. The record is from the annotation of a GenBank genome assembly. Lineage: Eukaryota; Metazoa; Chordata; Actinopteri; Labriformes; Labridae.